This is a long non-coding RNA of Sapajus apella (tufted capuchin), 87 nucleotides long. RefSeq lists it as uncharacterized. The transcript is spliced from 3 exons. The record is from RefSeq and is a predicted model, not a curated record. NCBI's taxonomy places the organism in Eukaryota, Metazoa, Chordata, Mammalia, Primates, Cebidae.
UUUAUAAAAUACAUUUUAUUGCUGGAAAAUACUAAUAAUCAUCUGAGCCUUCAGCAAGUCAUAAUCCUUUUGCUGGUAGAGGGCCUU